UAAUUAUUAGAACCUCCUCCCCAUGUGCCA
RNAcentral lists this non-coding RNA (30 nucleotides) under Macaca fascicularis (crab-eating macaque). Lineage: Eukaryota; Metazoa; Chordata; Mammalia; Primates; Cercopithecidae. RNAcentral also lists the same sequence under 1 other name. The record is from RNAcentral.